Molecule: ribosomal RNA, 433 nt
Filed under: uncultured bacterium
Lineage: Bacteria
Description: partial 16S ribosomal RNA
Rfam family: Bacterial small subunit ribosomal RNA
Source: RNAcentral
AACGAACGCUGGCGGCAUGCCUAACACAUGCAAGUCGAACGAGACCUUCGGGUCUAGUGGCGCACGGGUGCGUAACGCGUGGGAACCUGCCUUUAGGUUCGGAAUAACUCAGAGAAAUUUGAGCUAAUACCGGAUGAUGUCUUCGGACCAAAGAUUUAUCGCCUUUGGAUGGGCCCGCGUUGGAUUAGCUAGUUGGUGGGGUAAAGGCCUACCAAGGCGACGAUCCAUAGCUGGUCUGAGAGGAUGAUCAGCCACACUGGGACUGAGACACGGCCCAGACUCCUACGGGAGGCAGCAGUGGGGAAUAUUGGACAAUGGGCGAAAGCCUGAUCCAGCAAUGCCGCGUGAGUGAUGAAGGCGUUAGGGUUGUAAAGCUGUUUUACCCGAGAUGAUAAUGACAGUAUCGGGUGAAUAAGCUCCGGCUAACUCCGUG